Molecule: long non-coding RNA, 1121 nt
Organism: Medicago truncatula (barrel medic)
Lineage: Eukaryota; Viridiplantae; Streptophyta; Magnoliopsida; Fabales; Fabaceae
Exons: 2
Source: RefSeq, a predicted model, not a curated record
AAAAGUGACAAGUUUUGCGAAUGGGGUUUGAAGUUUGUAAUUGAUCCCCACCAAGAACACGAUAAAAAACUAUUAUGGCAAAAAUUCCAUUGGGUCUGUGGUUCUCUCUAACCCCCGAAAGAAAUUCCUCCAAUCUAAAAUCCAAACCCAAAUUCAAUCCAAGGAUUUUGUUCUUUAUUUUGUGAUUGGUUCUUGAAAUUUUGAGUCUUUAUGUUAUAGUUUCAUUAUUUGAUUUCUCUGGAUCUAUGACUUUUUUAUUAAUUGAAAUUUGAAAGAUGGGUUUAAGUAAGUAUAAGAGGUUGUGGAUCAGUUCCAAUCUGUUUAAUCUAGAAAGAGACUCCUCUUUCUUCCACCUUCACUAUUUCAAGCUAAAAUCAUACUCAGAACAGAGAUGUUUGGCCAAACAACACCAUACAUAAAAUAUUUCAUUUGAUCCUCUUCAUUUUUUUCUCCACUUUUCUUGCUUGUUAGCAUUUAAUUUUCGUCAGUUUAUAAUGGUAAUAUUACUGGAAUCGUAAGUGAGAGAAGUGGUGAAAUCAAAAUUGAAGAUAAACUCUGUCAUAGUCAAAACCAAAGAUGGAUGCUUUCUUGAAGGGAUUUCCACACCUUUUUAGGUUGCAAGUGAAAAGAUGAUGAUGAUGGGAAGUGGUGGUUCCAUGGGAGUUGUUGAGGGUGGAGCCCAAUUACCAUGGCACCGUGUGGGUAGAGUUACAUGCAAUGAUUCUUCUUUUGUUUAGAGACACGAGAAGGAGAGGAAGAAGCAAGCAAAGUUGGGACAGCUAAUGGUUGGUGUGAGUGGGGCACGGAGAAGAUAGUUUAUGGAAAAAAAUUUGGUGUCGAGUGUCUAUGAUAAAACUAUAUUCUCCACUUUAUCUAAUGGCCAAUAUUUACUUUCCCAUGGUGGGAAACAACUUUCCAUUCCCAUACUAAAGUACGAAACAAUCGUGUUUUAUUUGGUACAAGUACAAAACAAACAUUUAGCAAUCAUCUUUUAACUUCCUGUAUUUUAUUUCACAAGUAGUGUGUCCGAAUAAAAUUGUUUUUGAACUGCACUGUAGGAUCUGUUUUAGACUUACAUUCUUAUGGUACUACCGCUCUAAUAUGACACUAUGUUCACUCUA